Molecule: long non-coding RNA, 267 nt
Filed under: Hordeum vulgare
Lineage: Eukaryota; Viridiplantae; Streptophyta; Magnoliopsida; Poales; Poaceae
Description: long non-coding RNA (HVUL_LNC018504)
Source: RNAcentral
UUAGGGAGCGUGCGAUGGUGAUCACAUCAGCCGUGGAAAUACUUUCAACACACAUUGUCACCUCGCAUUUAGCUAGUCUCCGUCCAUUACGUAGCCUUUAUUUCGAGUUACUAACAUUUAGCAUCUGAACCGGUAUCUAAUACCCAUGUUCUACUAGGAGUACUAGUAAAGUACACAUCAAUAACACGUAUAUUCAAUAUACUUUUGUUGACGUUGCCAUCCUUCUUAUCUACCAAAUGUCUAGGGUGGUUCCGCCUUAGUGAUCAU